Molecule: transfer RNA, 64 nt
Filed under: Pertya dioica
Lineage: Eukaryota; Viridiplantae; Streptophyta; Magnoliopsida; Asterales; Asteraceae
Description: Myripnois dioica partial tRNA-His
Source: RNAcentral
GGCGAAUGUACCCAGGGGAAUCAGGGGGGGGGGUGGGGGAAACCCCCCCAUGCGGGGGGAAAAC